RNAcentral lists this ribosomal RNA (497 nucleotides) under uncultured bacterium. RNAcentral describes it as "partial 16S ribosomal RNA". It matches the Rfam family "Bacterial small subunit ribosomal RNA", at positions 28 to 507 of the family's 1533-position model. The record is from RNAcentral.
GAUGAACGCUGGCGGCGUGCCUAAUACAUGCAAGUCGAGCGAACAGACGAGGAGCUUGCUCCUCUGACGUUAGCGGCGGACGGGUGAGUAACACGUGGAUAACCUACCUAUAAGACUGGGUUAACUUCGGGAAACCGGAGCUAAUACCGGAUAAUAUAUUGAACCGCAUGGUUCAAUAGUGAAAGACGGUUUUGUUGUCACUUAUAAAUGGAUCCGCGCCGCAUUAGCUAGUUGGUAAGGUAACGGCUUACCAAGGCAACGAUGCGUAGCCGACCUGAGAGGGUGAUCGGCCACACUGGAACUGAGACACGGUCCAGACUCCUACGGGAGGCAGCAGUAGGGAAUCUUCCGCAAUGGGCGAAAGCCUGACGGAGCAACGCCGCGUGAGUGAUGAAGGUCUUCGGAUCGUAAAACUCUGUUAUUAGGGAAGAACAAAUGUGUAAGUAACUAUGCACGUCUUGACGGUACCUAAUCAGAAAGCCACGGCUAACUACGUG